UGAAAAUCCGUUGGCUUUAUUGACCGUGAGGGUUCAAGUCCCUCUACCCCCA
RNAcentral lists this transfer RNA (52 nucleotides) under Hygrohypnum norvegicum. Its description in RNAcentral is "partial tRNA-Leu". RNAcentral also lists the same sequence under 1 other name. The record is from RNAcentral. Lineage: Eukaryota; Viridiplantae; Streptophyta; Bryopsida; Hypnales; Amblystegiaceae.